RNAcentral lists this long non-coding RNA (2500 nucleotides) under Sus scrofa (pig). RNAcentral describes it as "lncRNA (ENSSSCG00030002372.1)". Lineage: Eukaryota; Metazoa; Chordata; Mammalia; Artiodactyla; Suidae. The record is from RNAcentral.
CUUUCGGUCGGUGUUUGUUGAGCAACGAGCAUGUUUGGUCAGGACGGCUGACACUGGGCUUUCCCUGGACUCGCGGGGCUGAGAUGAAUGAACCCAGGCAUCACCGAUGCUUCCGUGGCCACAAUUGGGUGUAGUCUUAGGAGACUGUUCCAAGGUGGGAAAAAACAAGAAAGCAAGACCCUGCGUGUCAUGAGUGGGAACCUGUGGCUCUAAACAUGUUCUCAGUGGAGUGGAAAGCAAAAGGCAGGCUUCCUCGUCCGGCAGCCAGGCAAGGCUGUGGCCCGUUCAGACUGGCUGAAGCAUAUGGAGGUUCCAUGGUAGGGGUCGAACUGGAACUGAAGCUGCCAGCCUAUACCACAGCCCCAGCAACACAGGAUCCGAGCUGCAUCUUCAACCUUCACCACAACUCAGGGCAACACCAGCUCCUUAACCAACUGAGGGAGGCCGGGGAUGGAAGCUGCGUCCUCCUGGAUGCUGGUUAGAUUCGUCAUCCGCUAAGCCCCAGUGGGCACUCCUUCCCUGAUGUCCUUGUUUCUGCAGUUCAGCACCCGCUGUUCUCAUCGCCCUUCUUCACAACCUCUGAGUCCUUUCUGCUCCCUCACUGCUCCUUCCUCCCCGGGCACAACUCCUGCCUCAUCGCAGACCCAAAAGCUGUCUCCAGGCACUGGGUAAAAUCGCAGGCUGUAGGAAAAGCCGGUUUUAAAAAAGGAACCCAGAUCAGGCAUCUGUGAGAGCCUGGACCGUCCAUCUCCCCGCAAAAAGAGAGUGACGUCAAUGAAGACAAAAUAGCAUCUGAGGAAAGAAAGAGCCGGUCAUCUUACAGGUUUGUUUAAAGCCACGAAUUUACGUGUCCAAGAAGCUUCGCAAAUGAAAACCAGCACAGGCUUUAUGAAGUCCGCUCACCCAUCACAGUCGUAAUGAAACCUGUGGAAACGAUGAGAAGCGUCCAGAGACGAUGUCAUGUUCCAUCCGGAGGAGAAGCGGUUCGGACGAGUCGAGCUUCCACCUCCGAAACCAGUGCUGUCAGCAGAGGGGGCAUUCUGGAGAGACGGAACGGGCCGGCCUGGGAGUCUCCUGGCGACAUUCUUGGGGCGUGAAGGUGAAACGGGCAUCGUCAGAGGGAGGAAUGUGGAGAGACUUGGUGCCCAUGAACCUGCUCAAAGGGAAAUGGUGAGGGGGAGUCUUCGGGCGGAAAGGAGGCCAUUCUUGGGGGCACUUGCAGCGUCACCAGUGAAGGGAGACCCCCAGGUGGGCAGUAGAAGGUGCAGGUAAUUGCCUGUGGUCUCCCCUCAGGUCUUUGAAACGCAUGGGGCUGUUGAAAGCAAACAUCGCGUGUGGUGGGGAGUUUGGUGCAUGCAGACGAAGACGCAGAGCAGCUGCAGCGAGAGGGCGGGGGGUGCAGGGGUCUUAGGAUGGUGCGGGUUCUGUGUUUCUCUGAGGCGCUGACAACAUUCGGUCUGACAUUGGGCGUGCGUAUUAUACCUCCUGGUGCAGCCACUUGCACAGCACAGCAAGAGCUACAACUGGAACACCAGUGGAUACAGUGGAUACUAAGAAAUAUUCCCAAAGCCAGAAGGAGGCAGGAGAGGGACACUCGAAGAGCAAACAAGAGCAGGGACAAGGAGCAGAACGAAGGAUGAGUCUUGAUACAGCCUCGAUGGUCAUUCCAUGACCUGUGAGCGGUGACAGCACCACUAACUGGUGAACAUUGUCAGACUGGACCAAGAAUUAAAGGGCCCCAUUUGGGAAUUUGGAAAUUAAAGGGCACCCUUCUGCCUAAUGCACGAGGCAAAGAAGACCUCAGGGAAAACUGGAAACUAUUUUGAACUGGAUGGAAAUGAAAGUACAGCCCCCUCGUCUUUGGGGGAUGCAGCCAAAGCCAUGUUUAGGGGGAACGGAGACCAGCACGUGUUGGUGGAAGGUCCAGUGUCCACACUGGGGCAGAGGCUGGAGAGCAGCCCCUGAACCAGCGGCCCCGUCCCUGGGUUACCAAGGGCCCUGUAUGUGGUGGGGCUCUGGGGGAUGGUGACACCACAGUCAAAGCCCCAAGGGCUGAAGUUCCCACUGUGGCUCAGUGGUUAACGAAUUCAACGAGGAACCAUGAGGUUGCGGGUUCCAUCCCUGGCCCAGCUCAGUGGGUUAAGGAUCCAGCGUUGCCGUGAACUGUGGUGUAGGUUGCAGUCGCAGCUCGGAUCCCGCAUUGCUGUGGCUCUGGUGUAGGCUGGCGGCUACAGCUCUGAUUAGACCCCUAGCCUGGGAACCUCCAUAUGCCGUGGGAGUGGCCCUAGAAAAGGCAAAAAAAAGACAGGAAAAAAAAAAAGUCCCAAGGGCUUUGUGCCCACCCCUGUGGACACGUCUCUUUCCUUGAGAGCCUCUUCUCCUCCCUGAGUCCAGGGACGUCUCUCUGUCUAGCCUGUUCUCCUGCCCACGAGUGUAGUAUCCUGUUCAGCCCCCAGAUGUCUGCGCAUUGGAAGCAUUUUCUAAAUUUAUUCAUUAAAAU